Small nucleolar RNA from Ornithorhynchus anatinus (platypus), 138 nucleotides. The record is from RefSeq and is a predicted model, not a curated record. NCBI's taxonomy places the organism in Eukaryota, Metazoa, Chordata, Mammalia, Monotremata, Ornithorhynchidae.
AACCUUUCAGGGUCGCACCUGGAGAGUUUCCAGUACUCUACUGGUCCCGGCUACUGGAGGGAGAGUGAAGCGGAGGCCUACCCAUUCCAUUCCUAGCUUGGUCAGUGGCUAGCGAGCGGAAGGCAAUCUGCUACAAGU